Molecule: long non-coding RNA, 275 nt
Filed under: Carica papaya (papaya)
Lineage: Eukaryota; Viridiplantae; Streptophyta; Magnoliopsida; Brassicales; Caricaceae
Description: long non-coding RNA (CPAP_LNC007584)
Source: RNAcentral
GGGAGUGAAUCUGGACAGUUCAUUGUGUUUCAAUUUGGGCCGUCCAUCGCGAUUCACUUUGGACCGUCUGAUCGCUUUUAAUCUGGUCGUUCAACUGCGUUUGGGAGGGAGCGCAUCCAGGCCGUCGUGCGCGCGGGAACGGAUCUCAGCCGCUCAAUCGCGCGCAUGCGGGAUUGCCCACGUGACCCCCCUACGUGGCUCCCGCAUCAGUGCCUCUGCCACUUGGCACGUCCUGGUUGGUCGGGGCUGCUGACCGGGCGUCUGACGUGACAAAU